GGGGAUGACUGUAGCUCUAUGGUAGAACAUCUGUGUUGAAUGCGGAGUUCCCAGGUUCAAUCCCUGCCAUCUCCA
Molecule: non-coding RNA, 75 nt
Organism: Podarcis lilfordi (Lilford's wall lizard)
Lineage: Eukaryota; Metazoa; Chordata; Lepidosauria; Squamata; Lacertidae
Source: the annotation of a GenBank genome assembly